RNAcentral lists this ribosomal RNA (180 nucleotides) under Barleria oenotheroides. RNAcentral's name for it is "5.8S ribosomal RNA". The stretch from base 1 to 79 matches the Rfam family "5.8S ribosomal RNA", at positions 78 to 154 of the family's 154-position model. Lineage: Eukaryota; Viridiplantae; Streptophyta; Magnoliopsida; Lamiales; Acanthaceae. The record is from RNAcentral.
AAUCCCGUGAACCAUCGAGUCUUUGAACGCAAGUUGCGCCCGAAGCCCUCGGGCCGAGGGCACGCCUGCCUGGGCGUCACGCAUCGCGUCGCCCCCCUCCCCCGCCCCCCCUCGCGGGCGGCGGCAGCGGAGGGGUGUGCGGAGGAUGGCCCCCCGUGCGCCUCGGCGCGCGGCCGGCCC